CCUACGUGAGGCAGCAGUGAGGAAUAUUGGUCAAUGGACGCAAGUCUGAACCAGCCAUGCCGCGUGCAUGAAGACGGCUCUAUGAGUUGUAAACUGCUUUUGUACGAGGGUAAACGCAGAUACGCGUAUCUGUCUGAAAGUAUCGUACGACUAAGGAUCGGCUAACUCCGUGCCAGCAGCCGCGGUAAUACGGAGGAUUCGAGCGUUAUCCGGAUUUAUUUGGUUUAAAGGGUGCGUAGGCGGUCUGAUAAGUUAGAGGUGAAAUCCCGAGGCGCAACUUGGGAAUUGGCGCUGAUACUGGUGGGCGAGAGAGUAGUUGCGGUAGGGAGAAGGUAUGGGGUAGCGGUGAAAUGCUUAGAGAUCA
RNAcentral lists this ribosomal RNA (364 nucleotides) under uncultured bacterium. RNAcentral's name for it is "partial 16S ribosomal RNA". It matches the Rfam family "Bacterial small subunit ribosomal RNA", at positions 338 to 699 of the family's 1533-position model. The record is from RNAcentral.